RNAcentral lists this microRNA (23 nucleotides) under Medicago truncatula (barrel medic). RNAcentral's name for it is "mtr-miR156i-3p". Its record names the gene mtr-miR156i-3p. Lineage: Eukaryota; Viridiplantae; Streptophyta; Magnoliopsida; Fabales; Fabaceae. The record is from miRBase by way of RNAcentral.
UGCUCACUUCUCUUUCUGUCAUC